AACAAGGCGUACCUGCGGACCUGCGGAAGGAUCAUUACAAGUGACCCCGGUCUAACCACCGGGAUGUUCAUAACCCUUUGUUGUCCGACUCUGUUGCCUCCGGGGCGACCCUGCCUUCGGGCGGGGGCUCCGGGUGGACACUUCAAACUCUUGCGUAACUUUGCAGUCUGAGUAAACUUAAUUAAUAAAUUAAAACUUUUAGCAACGGAUCU
This 212-nucleotide unclassified non-coding RNA is filed under the name soil metagenome. Its description in RNAcentral is "partial contains 5.8S ribosomal RNA, internal transcribed spacer 2, and large subunit ribosomal RNA". The record is from RNAcentral.